RNAcentral lists this ribosomal RNA (398 nucleotides) under uncultured bacterium. Its description in RNAcentral is "bacterial SSU rRNA". It matches the Rfam family "Bacterial small subunit ribosomal RNA", at positions 975 to 1375 of the family's 1533-position model. The record is from RNAcentral.
CAGGGUUUGACAUCCUGAGACCGCCGGUGAAAGCCGGUUUUCCCGCAAGGGACUCAGAGACAGGUGCUGCAUGGCUGUCGUCAGCUCGUGUCGUGAGAUGUUGGGUUAAGUCCCGCAACGAGCGCAACCCUCGCCUUUAGUUGCCAUCAUUAAGUUGGGCACUCUAGAGGGACCGCCGGCGACAAGCCGGAGGAAGGUGGGGAUGACGUCAAGUCCUCAUGGCCCUUACACCCUGGGCUACACACGUCCUACAAUGGCGGUGACAGUGAGCAGCUAGUUCGCGAGAACGUGCUAAUCUCUAAAAACCGUCCCUGUUCAGAUUGCACUCUGCAACUCGAGUGCAUGAAGGUGGAAUCGCUAGUAAUCGCAGAACAGCAGGCUGCGGUGAAUACGUUCCC